This 253-nucleotide ribosomal RNA is filed under the name uncultured bacterium. RNAcentral's name for it is "partial 16S ribosomal RNA". It matches the Rfam family "Bacterial small subunit ribosomal RNA", at positions 524 to 776 of the family's 1533-position model. The record is from RNAcentral.
UACGUAGGAGGCGAGCGUUAUCCGGAUUCACUGGGCGUAAAGCGCAUGUAGGCGGUUGGACAAGUCGUGUGUUAAAGCCCCUGGCUCAACUGGGGGAGGUUAUGCGAGACUGUGCGACUUGAGGGCAAGAGAGGCACGUGGAACUCCCGGUGUAGCGGUGGAAUGCGUAGAGAUCGGGAAGAACACCAGUGGCGAAGGCGACGUGCUGGGUUGCACCUGACGCUGAGAUGCGAAAGUGUGGGGAGCAAACGGG